AAGAAGACCCACAUUGGAACUGCUAAUUCCGACCCCUGGAACUAAUACACCCAGACUUCUU
RNAcentral lists this transfer RNA (61 nucleotides) under Pseudotrapelus aqabensis. Its description in RNAcentral is "tRNA-Ser". The record is from RNAcentral. Lineage: Eukaryota; Metazoa; Chordata; Lepidosauria; Squamata; Agamidae.